RNAcentral lists this ribosomal RNA (608 nucleotides) under Amphidinium carterae. RNAcentral describes it as "LSU rRNA". It matches the Rfam family "Eukaryotic large subunit ribosomal RNA", at positions 31 to 669 of the family's 3401-position model. Lineage: Eukaryota; Dinophyceae; Amphidiniales; Amphidiniaceae. The record is from RNAcentral.
AAUUUAAGCAUAUAAGUAGGUGGAGGAAAAGAAACCGAAUGGGAAUCUCUUAGUAAUGGCGAAUGAAAGGAGAUGUGCUUAGUGUCAAAAUCAGAUUACUCUGACUUGUAGGCUGUAGGGGCUUUGCCAACUUGGGUGCAGGUGCAAGUCUCUUGGAAAGGAGCACCAGUGAGGGUCAAGGUCCCGUCUGGCAUCUGUCAUCCCUCGUAGACGGUUUGCCCAUUGAGAGUCGUGUUCUUCUGGAGUAGAGCGCUAAUUGGGUGGUACUCUUUGCCCAAGGAGGAUUACGUGCUUGAGACCAAUAGUGAACAAGUACCAUGAGGGAAGGGUGAAAAGGACUUUGGAAAGAGGGUUAAGAGGGCAUGAAGCUGCUGGAAGGGAAGUGGAUUGGACUUUUACAUCGCAGUAAGAUUGCAGGCUGUGAUUUCCACUCGUGGGACAUCGCGUGCUGUGUCUCUUGCUGCUCGGUUGGGUUUUGCGUUGUGCCCGAAAUCUCAGCUUUGACUGGAAGAAGGUUUGCGAACUGGACCAUGUCAUUGCCAACUUUUGGCGCAGCAUGCAACCUUGACCAAAAGGUUCAAUUUUACCCGUCUUGAAACACGGACCAA